Dipodomys ordii (Ord's kangaroo rat) is the source of this 72-nucleotide non-coding RNA. NCBI's taxonomy places the organism in Eukaryota, Metazoa, Chordata, Mammalia, Rodentia, Heteromyidae. The record is from Rfam.
GGGAAGGUGGCUCAGUGGUAGAGUGCUUGUCUUGCAUGCAUGAGGCCCUGGGUUCAAUUCCUCAUCAUCACA